GGAGAGGUGUCCGAGUGGUUUAAGGAGCCGGUCUUGAAAACCGGUGAUACCGUGAGGUACCGUGGGUUCGAAUCCCACCCUCUCCGCCA
This 89-nucleotide transfer RNA is filed under the name Paludihabitans sp. MB14-C6. RNAcentral's name for it is "Paludicola sp. MB14-C6 tRNA-Ser". It matches the Rfam family "tRNA". Rfam says of the family: Transfer RNA (tRNA) molecules are approximately 80 nucleotides in length. Their secondary structure includes four short double-helical elements and three loops (D, anti-codon, and T loops). The record is from RNAcentral. Lineage: Bacteria; Bacillati; Bacillota; Clostridia; Eubacteriales; Oscillospiraceae.